CUCCCUUUGGUGAUGGAUAUAACAAAAAUUUGACACGAUACAGAGAAGAUUAACAUGGCCCCUGGAUAAGGAUGACAUGUGAAUUCAUGAAGUGUUCCAUAUUUUU
Small nuclear RNA from Equus asinus (donkey), 106 nucleotides. The record is from Ensembl. NCBI's taxonomy places the organism in Eukaryota, Metazoa, Chordata, Mammalia, Perissodactyla, Equidae.